Molecule: long non-coding RNA, 759 nt
Organism: Nelumbo nucifera (sacred lotus)
Lineage: Eukaryota; Viridiplantae; Streptophyta; Magnoliopsida; Proteales; Nelumbonaceae
Source: RefSeq, a predicted model, not a curated record
GCUACGCCACUGGCCUUGAUGCAUCAAUGGUGCAGUUUUAUCAUAACUGUCACCAUUGAAUAAAACCAAGGAAAUGAUUAAAACAGGGUGUCGGUUCAGUGAACUAAACAGGCGGUAUUUGCAUUGAAGCGGUUUCAGUGAAUAAAACUGGUUCAAUGCUUUCCCUCCAUUUCUAAAUUCACAUGGAGCCACGCGAUUUCUACGAGCAAUAUGACUCCACUUCUACUUUCUCUCCUACACAACUCUACUUCUCCACUUUUUCUCCCACACAACAGCAAUGAUAUGGAAAGUUUCCUUCGUUGAUCGUGAUUCUGAAUCGUUGAGGUCGGAUUUAUAUUCAAUCGACGCAUUGAGAAUUGUGAAAUUCAACAGAGAGUCGAGAAAGGUCGAGAACAGCUACUACUCUACACUCCUAGUACGCAGAAGUUCAAUCUAUAUUUUCUUUAUACUCGCGGUUUUGAUUUCUUUCCUCUUAGCGGUGACGAGGCUCUUAAACUUUUUCAAGAGGAUCUUGCGCUAUUAAAUAUUGUCUUUCAACCUUGGAUUCAGCAGAGAAGACUUGAAUACGCAAAGCAUAAGCAUGUAAUCUCUGGAAAAUUUUGAAAUAUCUGGAAAGGAAAUCAUUAGGGAAGCUCCUCAAAGAUGAUGGUGAACCUAAUGAAGAUAUUAUAAAAAGGUUAUUUAAGCAAAUUGAUGCAGAUAAGAAUGGACACCUUUCAAUUUCUGAGUUAAGAGCACUGAUUAUUGUCAAUACAAUCA